This 132-nucleotide small RNA is filed under the name Klebsiella pneumoniae. Its description in RNAcentral is "RtT sRNA". It matches the Rfam family "RtT RNA". Rfam says of the family: This family represents a bacterial cis-regulatory element known as RtT RNA. The exact function of RtT is unknown although it is thought that it may be involved in changing the cellular response in relation to amino acid starvation. The record is from RNAcentral. Lineage: Bacteria; Pseudomonadati; Pseudomonadota; Gammaproteobacteria; Enterobacterales; Enterobacteriaceae.
UAUUCUGCCCCACGGGGAAGGAUGAGAAGCUUCGACUAAGGUUCGACUCGAGCGAAGCGAGAGAACGUUGCCGCAGACAACGGCCCGAAGGGCGAGGCGCUUUAGCGCCGAGUAAUCCUUCCCCCACCACCA